RNAcentral lists this ribosomal RNA (465 nucleotides) under uncultured bacterium. RNAcentral describes it as "partial 16S ribosomal RNA". It matches the Rfam family "Bacterial small subunit ribosomal RNA", at positions 28 to 507 of the family's 1533-position model. The record is from RNAcentral.
GACGAACGCUGGCGGCGUGCUUAACACAUGCAAGUCGUACGGUAAGGCCCUUUCGGGGGUACACGAGUGGCGAACGGGUGAGUAACACGUGAGUAACCUGCCCACAACUUUGGGAUAACGCUAGGAAACUGGUGCUAAUACUGGAUAUGUGCUCCUGCUGCAUGGUGGGGGUUGGAAAGCUCCGGCGGUUGUGGAUGGACUCGCGGCCUAUCAGCUUGUUGGUGGGGUAGUGGCCUACCAAGGCGGCGACGGGUAGCCGGCCUGAGAGGGUGACCGGCCACAUUGGGACUGAGAUACGGCCCAGACUCCUACGGGAGGCAGCAGUGGGGAAUAUUGCACAAUGGGCGCAAGCCUGAUGCAGCAACGCCGCGGGCGGGAUGACGGCCUUCGGGUUGGAAACCGCGUUCAGCAGGGACGAAGCUUUUUGUGACGGUACCUGCAGAAGAAGCACCGGCUAACUACGUG